ACUGGGCACAGUGGCGCCUGCCUGUAAUCCCAGAGGCUUGGGAGGCUGAGACAGGAGGAUCUCGAGUUCAAAGCCAGCCUCAGUAACAGGGAGGUGCUUGAGCAACUCAGUGAGACCCUGUCUUUA
RNAcentral lists this small RNA (126 nucleotides) under Marmota monax (woodchuck). The record is from RNAcentral. Lineage: Eukaryota; Metazoa; Chordata; Mammalia; Rodentia; Sciuridae.